UACGAACUGUGCAAACGUUAUUCGGAAUCACUGGGCUUAAAGGGUGCGUAGGCGGCUUGUUAAGUAGGGUGUGAAAUCCCAGGGCUCAACCUUGGAAUUGCGCCCUAAACUGGCGAGCUGGAGUGAGAUAGGGGUGUGUGGAACUUCCAGUGGAGCGGUGAAAUGUGUUGAUAUUGGAAGGAACGCCAGUGGCGAAAGCGACACACUGGGUCUCAACUGACGCUGAGGCACGAAAGCCAGGGGAGCAAACGGG
RNAcentral lists this ribosomal RNA (253 nucleotides) under uncultured bacterium. Its description in RNAcentral is "partial 16S ribosomal RNA". It matches the Rfam family "Bacterial small subunit ribosomal RNA", at positions 524 to 776 of the family's 1533-position model. The record is from RNAcentral.